UUUACGAUGGAGAGUUUGAUCCUGGCUCAGGAUGAACGCUAGCGGCAGGCCUAAUACAUGCAAGUCGGACGGGCAGCAAUG
RNAcentral lists this ribosomal RNA (81 nucleotides) under Fibrivirga algicola. RNAcentral's name for it is "partial 16S ribosomal RNA". It matches the Rfam family "Bacterial small subunit ribosomal RNA", at positions 1 to 78 of the family's 1533-position model. Lineage: Bacteria; Pseudomonadati; Bacteroidota; Cytophagia; Cytophagales; Spirosomataceae. The record is from RNAcentral.